GAUGAACGCUGGCGGCGUGCCUAAUACAUGCAAGUCGGGCGAACAGACGAGGAGCUUGCUCCUCUGACGUUAGCGGCGGACGGGUGAGUAACACGUGGAUAACCUACCUAUAAGACUGGGAUAACUUCGGGAAACCGGAGCUAAUACCGGAUAAUAUAUUGAACCGCAUGGUUCAAUAGUGAAAGACGGUUUUGCUGUCACUUAUAGAUGGAUCCGCGCCGCAUUAGCUAGUUGGUAAGGUAACGGCUUACCAAGGCAACGAUGCGUAGCCGACCUGAGAGGGUGAUCGGCCACACUGGAACUGAGACACGGUCCGGACUCCUACGGGAGGCAGCAGUAGGGAAUCUUCCGCAAUGGGCGAAAGCCUGACGGAGCAACGCCGCGUGAGUGAUGAAGGUCUUCGGAUCGUAAAACUCUGUUAUUAGGGAAGAACAAAUGUGUAAGUAACUAUGCACGUCUUGACGGUACCUAAUCAGAAAGCCACGGCUAACUACGUG
Molecule: ribosomal RNA, 497 nt
Filed under: uncultured bacterium
Lineage: Bacteria
Description: partial 16S ribosomal RNA
Rfam family: Bacterial small subunit ribosomal RNA
Source: RNAcentral